GGGGGGGCAAGCGUUGUUCGGAAUUACUGGGCGUAAAGGGCGCGCAGGCGGCCUGGCAAGUCCUACGUGAAAUCCCACAGCUUAACUGUGGAACUGCGUGGGAUACUGCCAGGCUUGAGUCCGGGAGAGGAGAGUGGAAUUCCCAGUGUAGCGGUGAAAUGCGUAGAUAUUGGGAGGAACACCGGUGGCGAAGGCGGCUCUCUGGACCGGUACUGACGCUGAGGCGCGAAAGCUAGGGGAGCAAACGGGGAUUAGAUACCCCGGUAGUCCUAGCUGUAAACUUUGAGCACUUGGUGUGGCGGGUAUCGACCCCGUGCCGUGCCCGAAGCUAACGCAUUAAGUGCUCCGCCUGGGGAGUACGGUCGCAAGGCUG
This 373-nucleotide ribosomal RNA is filed under the name uncultured organism. RNAcentral's name for it is "partial 16S ribosomal RNA". It matches the Rfam family "Bacterial small subunit ribosomal RNA", at positions 528 to 896 of the family's 1533-position model. The record is from RNAcentral.